AAGAGCUCAAAUUUGUAAUCUGGCACCUUCGGUGUCCGAGUUGUAAUCUCGAGAAGUGUUUUCCGCGCCGGACCGCAUAUAAGUCUGUUGGAAUACAGCGUCAUAGUGGUGAGAACCCCGUAACUGAUGCGGAUGCCCGGUGCUUUGUGAUACACUUUCGAAGAGUCGAGUUGUUUGGGAAUGCAGCUCAAAUUGGGUGGUAAAUUCCAUCUAAAGCUAAAUAUUGGCGAGAGACCGAUAGCGAACAAGUACCGUGAGGGAAAGAUGAAAAGCACUUUGGAAAGAGAGUUAACAGUACGUGAAAUUGUUGGAAGGGAAACGCUUGAAGUCAGACUUGCUAUUUGGAGUUCAGCCGCAAGGUGUAUUCUUCGAUUUGCAGGCCAGCAUCAGUUUUCUGGGGUGGAAAAGGGUAUUGAGAAGGUAGCAGUUUCGGCUGUGUUAUAGCUCUUUGCUGGAUUCAUCCUGGGGGACUGAGGAAAGGCAUCCACGCUUUUUGCCAAGGCUCUCGG
This 509-nucleotide ribosomal RNA is filed under the name Fellozyma sp. KBP 3851. Its description in RNAcentral is "eukaryotic LSU rRNA". It matches the Rfam family "Eukaryotic large subunit ribosomal RNA", at positions 103 to 623 of the family's 3401-position model. The record is from RNAcentral. Lineage: Eukaryota; Fungi; Basidiomycota; Microbotryomycetes; Chrysozymaceae.